This 45-nucleotide transfer RNA is filed under the name Pseudoroegneria spicata. Its description in RNAcentral is "partial tRNA-Phe". It matches the Rfam family "tRNA", at positions 1 to 44 of the family's 71-position model. From Rfam's summary of the family: Transfer RNA (tRNA) molecules are approximately 80 nucleotides in length. Their secondary structure includes four short double-helical elements and three loops (D, anti-codon, and T loops). RNAcentral also lists the same sequence under 2 other names. The record is from RNAcentral. Lineage: Eukaryota; Viridiplantae; Streptophyta; Magnoliopsida; Poales; Poaceae.
GUCAGGAUAGCUCAGUUGGUAGAGCAGAGGACUGAAAAUCCUCGU